UUGUUUUGAAGAGAAGACGAGAAGAGAUCCGCCCACUGCCACUGUGUUUGAGUCGUCGGAAUCGACUAGACAAGCGUUUUGGACCCCCACACCGGCCACAAUGCAGAACUGAAGGAAUAGCCAUUAGGCAAGUCCGUAUACGGCGCGAUUACGGAAUUAACAACCAUUCCUUUGUGAUUUUGGACGCGUUUGGGCACUGACGCAUUGGGAAACGAUCCGAGCAGUGCGCGAGCGCGACGGGAUGGACGAGAAGAAGAAGGAGGACAGCGAAGCGGAGAUCCACGAACACGGGCCCGAACACUGGUUCUCAAAAUGGGAGCGCCAGUGUCUCGCUGAGGCCGAGCAAGACGAGCCUGACGAGGAGGACGGCGAAGAAAGCCAGCAGAAAUUGUGGCAUCUCUUUCAAAACUCUGCAACUGCAGUCGCGCAGUUGUACAAAGAUCGUGUGUGCCAACAGCAGUCCCUGGCAUUAUGGGGACCCUUCCAGAAUGCUGCCACAGCAGUCACCAACCUUUACAAAGAGAGUGUGGAAGUGCGGCAGUACUCUUAUGACCUGGGCCUUCAGUCGGGGCUUCAGCGUCGGCGUCAGGAGGUCCUCGCCUGGGUGAAGAAACGCAGGCGUACGAUUCGCCGAGAGGACCUCAUCAGCUUCCUGUGUGGGAAGGCCCCGCCCCCCCGCAACGCCAGAGCAACACCCAGGAUCACCAUGGUGUCCCCCAGUCGACCAUCGCCAACGGAAACCGCCGACUCCGUGGAAACAGACCUACAGCCUUUCAGAGAAGCCAUUGCACUGCACGGUCUGAGCGGCGCCAUGGCGAGCAUCAGUGUGCGUUCCUCCUCGGGAGGGGCUGGUCCCGGCUCCCCGACCCACCUCAGCUCUGCACCGCCACCACCGCCUGGUCGCCGUAGAAACGGCCUCCACGACGUGGACCUCAACACCUUCAUCUCGGAGGAGAUGGCCCGUCACCUGGACAACGGGCCACGGAAGCGAGGCCCUCCGGCCCAAUGUGCUGAGGUCAUCAGUGACUCGCCCACGCACAAGCGCAACCGGCUUGUCUGAUUGGCCCACUCCUCCCAUCCUCGCGCCCGCCAGGACUCAGCAGCCAAUUGGAGCUGCAGAGACGACUCGGGAGGCUCUCUGAUUGGUCAGUGGGCCUGUGAGGUCAUCAGUAUGGGAUGGACUGUGUGACGCGUAGAAGGGUGAAAAAGUUUUUGUUUGGGAGUCUGACAUGCGUGCGCGCGCGCGCACACACACACACACACACACACUUAAGCAAAGACACAGACACACCCACACACACACACACAUUUAUAGAAUUAUACUGAAACAUGUACAGAAGUAUCCUUACAAUGCUUUGUUUGUGCGUUGUGUGUGUAUGUGUAUGCACACAUGCAAGCUUGUGAGAGAGAGUGUGAGAGAGACAGAAUGUUAUAAAUAAUAGAGAUGUUUGUGUGUGUGUGAGAGAGAGAGAAUUGUGGAGAUAGGUAUGCGAGAGAGAAAUGUGUAAAAAUAAGGAGGUGUGUGUGUGUGUGUGUGUGAAAGAGAAAUGUGUUAAAAUAAGGUGUGAGUGUGACAGGGUAAUGUGAUAAAAUAAGGUUUGUGUGUGUGUGAAUGUGAAAGGGAAAUGUGUUAAAAUAAGGUGUGUGUGUGUGACACAAAUGUGUUGAGUGAGUGUGAUCAGCUGUGACCCCCUUAUGGCUGUGACCCUUUUUGUAAAGUUUUUUUUUUUUUACUUUAGAUAAUCAGUCCCCCUUUCCCAUAUGUUAGAUCAUUGUCCCCUCUAUAGAACAUCAUGAGUUCCCUCUAGAACAUCACUAGUCCCCUCUAUA
RNA transcript from Alosa sapidissima (American shad), 1830 nucleotides. It is a transcript of the gene named UPF0472 protein C16orf72 homolog, with no coding region annotated. The transcript has 5 exons. Lineage: Eukaryota; Metazoa; Chordata; Actinopteri; Clupeiformes; Clupeidae. The record is from RefSeq and is a predicted model, not a curated record.